CCUACGGGUGGCUGCAGUGGGGAAUAUUGGACAAUGGGCGAAAGCCUGAUCCAGCCAUGCCGCGUGUGUGAAGAAGGCCUUCGGGUUGUAAAGCACUUUCAGUGGGGAAGAAAGCCUUGGGGCUAAUACCCUCGAGGAAGGACAUCACCCACAGAAGAAGCACCGGCUAACUCCGUGCCAGCAGCCGCGGUAAUACGGAGGGUGCGAGCGUUAAUCGGAAUUACUGGGCGUAAAGCGCGCGUAGGCGGUCUGAUAAGCCGGUUGUGAAAGCCCCGGGCUCAACCUGGGAACGGCGUCCGGAACUGUCAGGCUAGAGUGCAGGAGAGGAAGGUAGAAUUCCCGGUGUAGCGGUGAAAUGCGUAGAGAUCGGGAGGAAUACCAGUGGCGAAGGCGGCCUUCUGGACUGACACUGACGCUGAGGUGCGAAAGCGUGGGUAGCAAACAGGAUUAGAUACCCGAGUAGUC
Molecule: ribosomal RNA, 465 nt
Filed under: Vreelandella stevensii
Lineage: Bacteria; Pseudomonadati; Pseudomonadota; Gammaproteobacteria; Oceanospirillales; Halomonadaceae
Description: partial 16S ribosomal RNA
Rfam family: Bacterial small subunit ribosomal RNA
Source: RNAcentral